GACGAACGCUGGCGGCGUGCUUAACACAUGCAAGUCGAACGGAAAGGCCCUGCUUUUGUGGGGUGCUCGAGUGGCGAACGGGUGAGUAACACGUGAGUAACCUGCCCUUGACUUUGGGAUAACUUCAGGAAACUGGGGCUAAUGCCGGAUAGGAGCUCCUGCUGCAUGGUGGGGGUUGGAAAGUUUCGGCGGUUGGGGAUGGACUCGCGGCUUAUCAGCUUGUUGGUGGGGUAGUGGCUUACCAAGGCUUUGACGGGUAGCCGGCCUGAGAGGGUGACCGGCCACAUUGGGACUGAGAUACGGCCCAGACUCCUACGGGAGGCAGCAGUGGGGAAUAUUGCAAAAUGGGCGGAAGCCUGAUGCAGCAACGCAGCGUGCGGGAUGACGGCCUUCGGGUUGUAAACCGCUUUCGCCUGUGACGAAGCGUGAGUGACGGUAAUGGGUAAAGAAGCACCGGCUAACUACGUG
RNAcentral lists this ribosomal RNA (468 nucleotides) under uncultured bacterium. RNAcentral describes it as "partial 16S ribosomal RNA". It matches the Rfam family "Bacterial small subunit ribosomal RNA", at positions 28 to 507 of the family's 1533-position model. The record is from RNAcentral.